Molecule: ribosomal RNA, 492 nt
Filed under: uncultured bacterium
Lineage: Bacteria
Description: partial 16S ribosomal RNA
Rfam family: Bacterial small subunit ribosomal RNA
Source: RNAcentral
AGUGAACGCUGGCGGUAGGCCUAACACAUGCAAGUCGAACGGCAGCACAGUAAGAGCUUGCUCUUACGGGUGGCGAGUGGCGGACGGGUGAGGAAUACAUCGGAAUCUACUUUUUCGUGGGGGAUAACGUAGGGAAACUUACGCUAAUACCGCAUACGACCUACGGGUGAAAGCAGGGGAUCUUCGGACCUUGCGCGAUUGAAUGAGCCGAUGUCGGAUUAGCUAGUUGGCGGGGUAAAGGCCCACCAAGGCGACGAUCCGUAGCUGGUCUGAGAGGAGGAUAGGCCACACUGGAACUGAGACACGGUCCAGAGUCCUACGGGAGGCAGCAGUGGGGAAUAUUGGACAAUGGGCGCAAGCCUGAUCCAGCCAUACCGCGUGGGUGAAGAAGGCCUUCGGGUUGUAAAGCCCUUUUGUUGGGAAAGAAAAGCAGCAGGUUAAUACCCCGCUGUUCUGACGGUACCCAAAGAAUAAGCACCGGCUAACUUCGUG